Long non-coding RNA from Macaca mulatta (Rhesus monkey), 1992 nucleotides. Lineage: Eukaryota; Metazoa; Chordata; Mammalia; Primates; Cercopithecidae. The record is from Ensembl.
GCCGCGGGCAGGGCUCCGACCCGGCGCCUUUGUCUCGCCCGGGCUGCUCGGGCGCCGGGCCUCCUGCUCCGGGCGCGCGGGGUCGGCCGGCCGCCUUCACUGCUCCGCCGCGGUUCUCGGCGCAGCUCAGCGCGGCGGGCCCGCUCGGGCUCAGGUGCCCCCGCUCUCCGGACCUUCUCGCCCGGCCCCGCGUCCCCUCCGCGGGCUUCCCCCGGCGGCCGGCCGGGCUCGGAGGCUCGCGGCCGGAGCGGAGCGGAGUGCGCACGCCGGGGUGGCAGGACUUCGGCAAGACCAACUUUCCGGUUCGGAAGCGGCGCGGGCCGCGCGGCUCCUCCCCUCCUUUCCCUCCCCUGCGUGCCCCCUCCCUUUCACUCCCUCCUCUCCCCGCCCCCCAUCCCGCGGGCCCCACCGACUCCGGAGCGCCCGCCCCGCCCGCUGCCGCCACCGGGGCCGCCUCGCCCCCGCGCCAGCCCGCCGGAGCCUCUGCGCCGCCGUCGGCUUCUUAAAUGCAGGAAAGGGAGGGGACCGCAGGACCCCGGUGUCCCCACCCUAGUCCCCCUUCCCCACGGGCCUCCGGGCGCCAGCGGAGUGGGCAGCGAGCGCGACCGAAAGUUCCAACUCCACCAAAGUCCUGCGCGCGGCCCACCCCGUUCCCGGAUUUCGGGGAUGACACGGGGGCCAGGUGUGGACCUGGGGAGGAUCUUCUAAGUCCCUCCAGCGAAGGCAAGUGUGAGACUCUGGCCCUUUAUUUGUAAGAAGCAAGCCUUCAGACUGCAGAAGUGUCGCGCGGGUCGCCGUGCGUUGCGCGAGUGGGAAGAUGGAGGAGGCUGGCACGGUGCUUUCGUGGACGCAAGUGAACCGGGCGUGAAGGCAGGGUGCAAGCUCUGCCCUUGGCCCAGCCCGGCGUGGGUGCCGUCCCAGAUUCCGGGCGGUGCGGGGUGCAGAGAUCUGGAGAGAGUUGCGGGCUCCCCAGCGCAGGCUGCUCUGGGAUUUCGUUGGAAGAUCCGGUAGAGCCUUGGAGGAGAGGGCCGGGGAGGCUGUGUGUGCAGCGGAAGCUUGUACGAAUGCCCCCACAGCUGAAAUGGUGCGCACGAGUAAUUUCUGCGGCGCACCCUUUUAAACAUUGACUGAAGUGAACAAGAUCAAUUUUUUAAAAAAGCAAAAGUAGAAAAUAAAAGGCGUGAGACUUCUUGACUGGCUUGUUCCCGCCUUUCUUCCUUCCCUAUACUCAGAUCAGAAACUUUAAUUGCUCUUAUUCAGUGCGACAACUUUUAAUAAAAGCGUUUGCAUCUUAAGCCCGAGUUGCAACCAUAGAUUUAUUGCGAAGUGACAACGUGUCCACGGAAUAUUUUCGCAGAUGACACAGGACGUGCGCUCUGGUCCUGCCCAGAUUAAAGGGACGCUGGGCCAUGUGCCUGUGUGGGUGUAGACUCGGAGGGGCACACACCUACUCGUCAUCACAUGACCACUGUCUAUUAAUAUUGUCAUACCUAAACACUCGCAAAAACAAAGUUGCUUUUCUUCCCUGUAAUUAAAUCUAAUUUGUUAAUUGUCUUUCCUCUUGCAAUGUUGUUUUCAUCUUAAGAGGUGACACAUUAUUAUUUUGUCUGUCUAAUAUUAUUUACAAAUUAAUGCUGUAUAUUUUACAUUAGUGAAACAUAUAAUUAGGUGUUUGGUUCAAUCGGUAACAUUCAGAUAAACAAAGCCUAUCUGCAAGAUUGAUUGGAAGUGGAAUAGUUGGUUCUAAUUUACCAUCACAGUCACAGUUUAUUGAAGCUACCUGGCCCCAGAUUCACAGAAGCUAGUUUUACCUAAGGUGCAUUUGAAGCUUUGUUUACAAGUAUUUUCCCCAACCACUUAAUGCAAAAAAAAAAAAAGGUCAAAUAUUAGGGCUUUAAUUUUCUGUCUUCUUUCACUGCUCCCCCCACCCAAAGUUCCUUUCUUCUAUUCUCUGGCCACCUCUCUCCCUCUCUCUGGUUCCUCCCCCACCCC